AGUGUAGGAAAUUCUCAAUUUUACUUUGUUCGCUACUUUACUUACCAGGAGUUUCAGCCACUUACUAACUUAAUAUUUCAAUGCUUUAUGCGCACACAAAAGGAAUGAUUAAAAGAAUGAGACGAAUAUCGAUAAAUCUUCCCUUACCUGAAAGGAUGUGACGGCGAGCUGACUAAGUCCAUCCACGUACGGGCCCAGGACAUUGUGUUCCCUGACUUUCAGCGACUGUUUGUUCGGCUUUGGAUCGAGCAGAUCGUGCACCUUCUCGUUGUAGAUCUCCAUAUAGGAGACCUCGACUUUGCGAAAAUGCAGGCGUUGUAACCUUGGAACGCAUUGUCCAAAAUGUCGCGACCCAGGGCGUCGAACACCACAUCUUGAUUCGCGAAGUUUUCCACGGCCGGGUCCAGGGAAUAGAAACAAUGAUCGAACGCGAAGGUUUUCGGCUUGCUCCUGUAACAACACGAAAAGGGGAAGAGUGAUGGAGCGAAGAAACAGAAGAAAGAAGAAAAUGGUGAUGCGGAGGUAGAAGAGGAAGUCGAGGAGGAAGAAGAAGUCGAUGGAGAUGGCUAAGAAGUUGAUGAAGAUGAUAACAAACCAGGAGGGAAGAAAGGAAACGGGAAUAUUUAUAUGUGGAAUUAGUAUUUAUCUAUUAGAGUAAUUAUUUUCAUUUGUCCAGUGUUUUUAAUCAAAUUUAGAAUUGAAAUCUCCGAUAGAGAUUAAAUUUCCAUUUUAAAGAUACAGAUAAACCAAUAAAAUACAGUCGUUCUUUUACUAAAAAUUCAAGCAAAAUAACUUUAUUUCUCAC
This 805-nucleotide unclassified non-coding RNA is filed under the name Bombus terrestris (buff-tailed bumblebee). RNAcentral's name for it is "misc RNA ENSBTSG00005028993.1". Lineage: Eukaryota; Metazoa; Arthropoda; Insecta; Hymenoptera; Apidae. The record is from RNAcentral.